CACUAUCGUUAACUGAAUACAUAGGUUAACGAGGCGAACCGGGGGAACUGAAACAUCUAAGUACCCCGAGGAAAAGAAAUCAACCGAGAUUCCCCCAGUAGCGGCGAGCGAACGGGGAGCAGCCCAGAGUCUGAAUCAGCUUGUGUGUUAGUGGAACGGUCUGGAAAGUCCGACGGUACAGGGUGAUAGUCCCGUACACCAAAAUGCACAGGCUGUGAACUCGAAGAGUAGGGCGGGACACGUGGUAUCCUGUCUGAAUAUGGGGGGACCAUCCUCCAAGGCUAAAUACUCCUGACUGACCGAUAGUGAACCAGUACCGUGAGGGAAAGGCGAAAAGAACCCCGGCGAGGGGAGUGAAAAAGAACCUGAAACCGUGUACGUACAAGCAGUGGGAGCACCUUCGGGUGUGACUGCGUACCUUUUGUAUAAUGGGUCAGCGACUUAUAUUCUGUAGCAAGGUUAACCGUAUAGGGGAGCCGCAGGGAAACCGAGUCUUAACUGGGCGUUAAGUUGCAGGGUAUAGACCCGAAACCCGGUGAUCUAGCCAUGGGCAGGUUGAAGGUUGGGUAACACUAACUGGAGGACCGAACCGACUAAUGUUGAAAAAUUAGCGGAUGACUUGUGGCUGGGGGUGAAAGGCCAAUCAAACCGGGAGAUAGCUGGUUCUCCCCGAAAGCUAUUUAGGUAGCGCCUCGUGAACUCAUCUUCGGGGGUAGAGCACUGUUUCGGCUAGGGGGUCAUCCCGACUUACCAACCCGAUGCAAACUACGAAUACCGAAGAAUGUUAUCACGGGAGACACACGGCGGGUGCUAACGUCCGUCGUGAAGAGGGAAACAACCCAGACCGCCAGCUAAGGUCCCAAAGUCAUGGUUAAGUGGGAAACGAUGUGGGAAGGCACAGACAGCCAGGAUGUUGGCUUAGAAGCAGCCAUCAUUUAAAGAAAGCGUAAUAGCUCACUGGUCGAGUCGGCCUGCGCGGAAGAUGUAACGGGGCUAAACCAUGCACCGAAGCUGCGGCAGCGACACUAUGUGUUGUUGGGUAGGGGAGCGUUCUGUAAGCCUGCGAAGGUGACCUGUGAGGGUUGCUGGAGGUAUCAGAAGUGCGAAUGCUGACAUAAGUAACGAUAAAGCGGGUGAAAAGCCCGCUCGCCGGAAGACCAAGGGUUCCUGUCCAACGUUAAUCGGGGCAGGGUGAGUCGACCCCUAAGGCGAGGCCGAAAGGCGUAGUCGAUGGGAAACAGGUUAAUAUUCCUGUACUUGGUGUUACUGCGAAGGGGGGACGGAGAAGGCUAUGUUAGCCGGGCGACGGUUGUCCCGGUUUAAGCAUGUAGGCUGGUUGUCCAGGCAAAUCCGGAUAAUCAAGGCUGAGGUGUGAUGACGAGG
RNAcentral lists this ribosomal RNA (1383 nucleotides) under Klebsiella pneumoniae. Its description in RNAcentral is "bacterial LSU rRNA". It matches the Rfam family "Bacterial large subunit ribosomal RNA", at positions 146 to 1574 of the family's 2925-position model. The record is from RNAcentral. Lineage: Bacteria; Pseudomonadati; Pseudomonadota; Gammaproteobacteria; Enterobacterales; Enterobacteriaceae.